This 9400-nucleotide long non-coding RNA is filed under the name Eucalyptus grandis. RNAcentral describes it as "long non-coding RNA (EGRA_LNC004986)". The record is from RNAcentral. Lineage: Eukaryota; Viridiplantae; Streptophyta; Magnoliopsida; Myrtales; Myrtaceae.
AAAAAUCUCCGCGACAAAAUAUAGUGUUUAUAAAAGUGCUUUUGUGCACAAUUUUCUCUGUCUCCUCACGUGAAAAAAUCUCUAGAACAAAAUUUACUGUUUAUAAACGUGCUUUUGUGCACAAUUUCCUCUGCCUCCGCGCACGAAAAACUCUCCAUGGCAAAAUUUACUGAUUACAAAAGUGCUUUUGUGCACAAUUUUCUCCGCCUUGUCGAUGCCACAUAAGUCUCGCCACGUGUAUCUACUUUUGUCCAUAAUUUUCAAGUCGUCUCAUGCUGACGUCACGUGGGUGACGUGUGAAUCCUUCGUUAGGAGGGUCGGCUGGCUAGCUAGGGUUUUGCUCUUCAGGUUGUGUUGGAUUUUCUUGGGUGCUCCUUGGAGAUCCUGAGCUGGGACUCACAGCGAAGUCAAUGAAUAGGCACAUGACUAGAGUAAGCUAUAAGUCAUUGUCAAUGGCUAUAAGAAAUGCUGUCGAUAGUGGUUCACGCUAAAUAGAUUAUAUGAUUGAUGAUUGUUGAUAAGGAUAUUGAUUAAAUGAGUCAAAAAUGAAUUACUAAUCAAAAGGCCGCAAAAAGAUUGGAUACUUAGAGGGUAUCGGGAUGUAGUUAUAAAAUUUCAAAUUUGAAAUCACUAAUGAGUGGAGCUACAAAGACCAAUAAAUCAAGGAGCAAGAAUGGAUGAGGACAUAAAUGAUCAAAAUGCAACUUCAAAGGAGCAAUCACUUGAACAAGAUCAUGGUAUUGUUAGAGUAUGGGCACAAAAUUCUCGAAGAUGUAGAGAUAUGGAGACAUGGCUACGACUACAAGAGAAUUGCUCUUACAUGGUUAUGGCAUGAACACUAUAUAUACCAUCAUUAAUCUACUGUAGAACUCGCAAGCGCACAAAAGAAAAAAAUGUUAUCUUGCAAUUACUCUUCAAUUGAUGCAUCGUAGUUUUAAUUUCCAAACUCGUGUCAUAGAUUAAAUUCUAGUGUGUUUUUUAGCUAUAGGUUUCAGAUUUCCGUCAUCACUUAAAUUCUAGCGUUGCCUCUUCAUGUUCUCAAACUUUGUCAUCAAUUAAUUCCAACAUAAUUUGUAUACAUUUAGUUCUAUUCAUAGUGGCUACAUUCUCAAGUUUUGUCGAUAUAGUUUGUGUACUUUCAAUUCCAUUUAAAGUGAAGUUAUUGAUUAUCUUAUCAAUAAUAAAAGAAUACUUUGCACAUGAUUGGUAAUAUCCGAGCCAGUGCUUACCUCAGUGAAAAAUUUUCAAGCUCAAUGAGUCCUCCAGAGAUUUCGGCUCACCGGGCCUGCUUUGGUCUGAAUACGUAUUUGGGGCCUUUCAUCUCUCUCGCUCAAUCUCAGUAUUAAUCUUAUCAAUAAUAAAAGAAUAAUUUGCACAUGAUUGGUAAUAUCCGAGCCAGUGCUUGUCCAAAAAAAAAAAAAAAAUCUCAGUAUUAAUAGUUCUGACGUCACUCCUUCAUCUCCCCCUUCUGCAAAAGCCGACAGAUCGAUCCUCUCUCUCUCUCUCUCUCUCUCCCCUCGCCCUCCAAACGUCCGAUCCUCUUCCCCCUCUUCCUCCCUCUCUCCAUGCGUUGAUCCAUCCAAUCCAGCGGUCGAUUUGUCCAUCGCCUGCACAUCGCACACGUCGUCUUUCUUCUCCCCCGGCUCGAGAAUCACGUUGCCGCGAGUGGAGCCCGUGUGUGAGGGAGAGUGGAGCCCGAGGGGUCCAUUAAGGUUGGCGGGUUUCGGGGCCUUAUAAAUGGCGGACAGGGAUGGGUAUCCACCAGGUGAAAGACGCUGCCUUUGUCUAGUGGGGAGAGGGGGGUACGAAUGGAAAUUAUCACUAUCUCAGAUCCAUAGUCACAUCUAGAUAUCGCUAUCGAUUUUUUCAAAAUUAUCAUUAUAAUGAUCAUUUAGAGGUUCAUUAUUUGAACCUACAUCUUCACCAAUACUUUUACUCUCAUUAGGAACAACGACCUUCUGAUAUUGAUAAUUUUGAAGAACUUAACUGCCUUUUUUAGAUGCGGAGCAAAAUUGAAAUUGAACUUAAAGUUGAUCUCUUUUUUCAGGAAAUUAGGCCUGUAAAUGGAUAUGCACAUGUUUAACAGCGACGGAGUUUCGAUUUGUUAAUCCUUUUUUGUCAUUAUUCAAAUUUCUCAACAUGAACUCAUGGAUUUACAUUAUGAGAUGAACCAUGGAUGGGAAUUCAACAAAGAACAAGAAAACAAGAACUCGCCAUGCUUCUUUAUUUCCAACACAUAGCACACAGCACACAGCACACAGCACACAGUACACUGAUGACACAACACAGGAACUUUCUUCUUUUCCUCGAAAGGAAGUGGCACUCCAUGUCCUCAACGGGGCGACAGUGCUCGUAGCUCCCCUAAAGGAUGGUGCAUGAGUUCUCGCUCCCCAACUCAUCAAGCUUGUACGUGCCCUUAAACUUGUCGUACAGCCGUGGCAAGAAUUUGGUCCAUUUAUGCCCCUGCAAAAUCGAUACAUGUAUUCUCUCAUGCCGUCAUGGAAGUGAGAUUAUGUAGGAAGGAAUAAGGAUGAGACGAACUAAAGACAAUUGAAUCGGAUUAUGUCACAGUGAUUCUGUCCACUUGAGGUGGUGAUUUCGUGCGGUUGUGAGAGAGAGGGUUCUUACUUUGUCAUUAGCUCCUUGCGCCAUCCUAGGGGCGGUCCUCGCCUGCAUGACAUAGUGUUCAUAGGUAAAUACAUACUUAAAGACAAUUGAAUCGGAUUAUUUCACGGUGAUUCUGUCCACUUGAGGUGGUGAUUUUGUGGGGUUGUGAGAGAGAGGGAUCUUACUUUGUCAUUAGCUCCUUGCGCCGUCCCAGGGGCGGUCCUUGCCUGCAUGACAUAGUGUUCAUAGGUAAAUACAUAAUUAAAGAGAAUUGAAUCGGAUUAUGUCACAGUGAUUCUGUCCAUCGGAUUAUGUCAUGGUGAUUCUGUCCACUUGAGGUGGUGAUUUCGUGGGGUUGUGAGAGAGAGGGAUCUUACUUUGUCAUUAGCUCCUCGCAUUGUCCCAGGGGCAAUACUCACCUGCAUGACAUAGUGUUCAUAGGUAAAUACAUACUUAAAGACAAUUGAAUCGGAUUAUGUCAUGGUGAUUCUGUCCACUUGAGGUGGUGAUUUCAUGGGGUUGUGAGAGAGAGGGAUCUUACUUUGUCAUUAGCUCCUCGCACUGUCCCAGGGGCAAUACUCACCUGCAUGACAUAGUGUUUAUAGGUAAAUACAUACUUAAAGACAAUUGAAUCGGAUUAUGUCAUGGUAAUUCUGUCCACUUGAGGUGGUGAUUUCGUGCGGUUGUGAGAGAGAGAGGGAUCUUACUUUGUCAUUAGCUCUUCGUGCCGUCCCAGGGGCGAUUCUCACCUGCAUGACAUAGUGUUCAUAGGUAAAUAUAUACUUAAAGACAAUUGAAUCGGAUUAUGUCACGGUGAUUCUGUCUACUUGAGGUGGUGAUUUCGUGCGGUUGUGAGAGAGAGGGAUCUUACUUUGUCAUUAGCUCCUCGCACCGUCCCAGGGGCAAUACUCGCCUGCAUGACAUAGUGUUCAUAGGUAAAUAUAUACUUGAACUCGAGCGAUUACCUUUUUUUCCUGCUAAUAAAGAAUUAGGUUUUCUUUUCUUUUCUUUUUUUGGGGUAUGGCAGAGGCGAAUAUCAUGUCUGGGUUUUUUAAAACUCAUUCAGCUUUCGAAAAUCGCUUUACAAACCAUACAAUUAUCUUCCGGACCAACUUACGCGAAUCACGCCUAUACAUGUUGUCUAUGUAGUCGGGGUGCAAAUCUUUUUGAAGGAGAAGAUAGUGCUUUUGAUCUUGUCAUUAGUUCCAACUCGAUAAAAGUAAGGUGGACAUUCCUCGUUGGAGGUAUUUUUUUUGAAAAUGUAAAUUUUAGUAGAGUGUUGAAUUUUCUGCAUCAUAUAUCCUUAUGAAGAAUCAAGAUCGAACGUCUAUUUAGAUUAAUUUAAACUACAAUCUUUACCUCUUGACCGCGUACAUCAGUACUGGGUUUGUCUAUCAAUAGGUGUUUAUACUCGUCGUGGCAGAGGACGUAGGAGAAGGUUUUUAGUUCCUCAAAACUGAGACUUUUGCUGCCGUCCUUGUCCAGCUUUGCGAAGAGAUUAUCAGGGUUGACAUUAUGGAGCCCGGCAACGCUCAGGAAGGUCUUGAACUCGUCGAUACUUAUGUCGCCGUCCUCGUUCUUGUCCAUGUUGUUGAAGAGUCUCGUCGCCUCCUCCUUCUGGUCAUCCGUCAAGCCAUCGUAAUGAGCAGAUGCAGCCUCGCGAAGCUCUGCUAUAUCUAUGUCUGCCAAGACGGGCUUACUUAGCUUGGUCGGCUCGGUCGGCUCGGCCUCCAGGUCCUCCUUCUCUCUCUCCUCUCCAUCUCCACUGAAUAUUUUCUCCUCCUCCUCCUCCUCCUCCUCCUUUGCUGUAUCUAUGUCUGCCGAGACGGGCUUACUUAGCUCGGUCUGCUCGGUCGGCAAGGCCUCCACGUCCUCCUCCUCUAUCUCCUCUCCAUCUCCACUGAAUAUUUUCGCCUCCUCCAAGGACUCGGCCAUCCCUCUCCCCCUCUCUCUCCUUUGCCUUUCUCUUUGAGGAUGUGUGCAAGUGCUGUUUCUGUGGAGGUUAUUGAAGUAUUUAUAGAAAAUUACAGUCGAGCGUUCCAUGAGUUACACGCACAAAAGAAAGAAAGAAAAAUAUGUGAAUGAUUAUUAGAUUUUUAAUGUGUGUACGAUCAAUGUGAAUGCAUGUGAAGCACACAGAGAGAGGAAGCAAAAAAAUUCGUGGACUUCAAUUUGGACGUACAAGUCCCUACAUUUGCUAAGAGCAAUCUUACAUGGGCGAGCAAAUCUUAUUAAAACAUUUUUUUUUUGGUAAAGUAUUUUUUUUUUGGUAAAGUUAUUAAAACAUUUUUAUUAUGUGAAAGAGUUAAUUUUUUCAUUGGAUAUUAAAAAAAAAAAAAACUUAUAGUCCAAUGCAUGAAUCCCACCGAUUUCAAUAUGAUUGAAACUUUCUAAUAUUUUUAUUGCCCCCAUCUAGUGACUUGUUGGACAUCUCAUGAGUCACGUCAAUUGAUUAAAUCCAAGCCUUUGACAUUUACGGAUGAUUAUGACUAAGAAUAGUUAAAAUUCAAUUAGUGAUAUUCGAACUAGUGAUUUCUAAUUUUUAAGCUGAAAAUCUCCUAACGUUAUGACCAAGAAUUCUCUUUUCCUAACUAUUUUGUUCUCUGAGCAAUGUCCAUAACGGUAUGUGAGUGAAGAGUACUAAUUCAAAACCUUGAGAAAACUAAGAUAGUGUAGGGGAAUGUGCAUCAGGUUGAUUCAACUCGAGAAUCCUUGCUUGGACCUAUUAGUUUAAGAUCAGUGCUAAGGAAAAUUGGUUUGGUUCCCAAUACUAACUUGAGAAAUUGAGGGGCAAAUUGUUCGAGGCGAAAUCAAUAAAUGCCCGUAGGACAGCGUUGGCUUCUUGACGGGGCCACCAAUGCGGACAAUUACACACGUCAUAAAAUCUUUGCAAUUCCAAUAAUUGAGGUCUAUGCCUAUUGAAAUCAUUAAAAUUCAAGACAAGACAGCACUGACGUGCCUUUAAGCCUGUUCCUAAUUAAAUCGGUUUUGCAGCAUCUUUAAAAGAAUAAAUAUUUUUGCACCCAUAAAAUCGAACCAUUCUCUUCAACAUGAACAAACAACAAAAUAAUCACUUGACUAACAUAUAUUUUAUAGCAAAAUUAUUCAACUUUUAUAUCAUAUCAUAUAAAUUAUAUUUCUACACAAAAUAAAAAUGAACCAGUUCUCGAGUAAAUUCGACAAUAGAGCCGCAACUGGUUGGAAAUCAACCCACCCGUGUUGGAAAAAUAUCUUUAAGUGAUUUUGAUAAUGUCCAAACUAUUAUCAGUAUAAUAUUUACUGUGAAAUGUGUAGAUGUUCAUACCAAAAGAUUGCAUAAUAUCCAUGGUGUAAUCCAAUGGAAGGAAGUAUGUCAUAAGUCCCGAUACAAUAUUUCCGUAAACAGUAUAAGUGGACUUGAAGAUAAACAAAUGUCUAUGUCGAAGUUGUAAAUAUCAAGUCUUUGGUGCUAUGGUUACCUCGUACAUUUAAUGACGUUUGUUGGAUUAGCAAAUUAGCUGUUGAGGCUUUGGAAUCAUCCAAUAGUAGAAUCUAGAUGAGACCAAUAAUCAAGAAGUUAGGUUGUGUGACAGGUUUGUUAGAGACUACAUCGAAGGGACAUCAACACAUGCUAUUUGUAGGUAGCGUGCAAAUGUUUGGGAAAAAAGACUGCAUGGACAGUUGUAUCUCUGGAUAGUAGCUCAACGGUUAUUCUAACAGCUCUCUGCUUCUUCAGUUUGCCUCCAACGGAUGGAUUGAAGAUUUGUUACAAAGAGCAACAUACCAAGAUCUAAAGAUUUAUCGCUAUGUUCCAAGCGAUACGCUCUCUUUGAACUAUUCUUUUAGCAUUGUAUUCGUGCUAUUUAAGUAAUUGUGCUAAGUAUUAAGUGGACAAGAGCAAGAGCAGCAUGUGAUCUAUCUUGUAAAAGGAUUAAUACUUACUAUUGUAACUUCCUCAGCAGAUUACUAGUCCAAUCUAGCUCAAUUUGUAGCUAUUAGUCUCAAGAGUGGACAUGGGCUACGGGAUAGAGCCGAACCACUAUAUUUCGCUCUUACUAGCACACGGUUUCAACAUUACAUUGACCUAUUCUUUACUUAGCGCCAGUUAAUUUUCACGAAAGAUUGUUAAGUUUUCUAAAGCAACCUAUUCACCCCCUCUAGAUUGUAUUGUUAGCCCCCAACAAUACAAACCCAAUCACCCUUGAGAUAGAGGCAAUCUAGAAAACUCACAUUAAUUUCCAAUUAGCAAUGAAAAAUUGAGAGCACACAGCAUGAGCCUUCAAUGAUUAAUUGCCAUAAUUCACAAUUUUUGUGUUUAGAUCAUGUAGGGAUCCAACUAUAGGAUUAUUGAAAUUUCAUACUUGACAAUCUAUAUAGUCUAUUAAUCUCGAGGAGGAGAUAGAGAGUCAUUUCAAAAUUUGGGAACAAUUCACUUUAAGAUAGAGUGAAUUUAAUGACUAUUUUCUCAAGCCAAUUCCAAUCUCAAAUUUCUUUCGAGUUUCAUAUAUUCAAAUGAAUCUCAGAGUUGAAAACUCUAUGAUGAAACGGGAAAUAAAUGAGUCCUUGAAACAAUAAGUAUCCUCUUUCCAAUUUGAUACCAAAGCCUUUUUCUUGUUGAUCUUAAAAUAUUUUGUGGAUAAAUAAGUCUUUUUAAUCCUUUUAUAUGAUCGUCUUCAAUUGCUUCGAUCCAGACCGGGAAGCUACGUAUUGUAGCUGGGGAGGAAUCCAAUAUUUUAACCUGUUAAAUACAAGUGUGAAAAAGAACAGAUGGAGUCCAAGUCAAAGUCAUGCUUGGGAUCAAAUCGACCUGUGUUACAUUGUAAGGACUAAGCGACAUUCUCCUCUGCCCUUUUUGAAAAAUCAAUGAAGAUUCCACCACAAGCCUCGUCUGCAAUAAUAGUAUAAAGCAUAGCUAGCAGACAUGAAGAUACCACGAGAUUCGGUGGGUUGUUCUGUCUCUCUCCCCAGUUUCCAAGAAAUCAGAGUGCGAUUAUCCUUAUUCGAAUUUAAGCGCCCGCGUAGUUUGAUCCAGGCAUGGAAAAAUGAUGCCUUAUUCUGCGAUGCUGUAGAGUCCAGGCCAAUUUCGAUUCAAAGAGGCCUAAAUUAUUAGAAAAACCUCAAAUUUUAAGUAUUGUCGCAAUUCCACUCCAAUUCUUUUUUUAUCUGAGAAAAAAAUUCAAUUUUAGAUGUAGCCCCAAAUCUAUUUCAAAAUUUAGAUUUAGUCCUAAAUUUAUCUCGAAUUUUGUUUUGCCUAAAAAGAUCACUAACUUUUAAUCUAUCCUUAAAUCAACAUUGUGGUUAUUCCUAAUUGGGCGUGGUGUUUCCACAUUGAUGACAAAUCUACAUUGAUAAGGCGACAUAGAAAAUUAUCUUCAAAUUAAAACUACUCUAGGAUAUAAAAAUUAAUGACCUCGUGGUCAUUGAAGUGAUGAUUUGUUGCUAUCGUUCAAUUAAUAAUAUAGGUAAAAGUUGAGUAGAACUUGAAAUCAACUCUAGAACCCAUGACACAAUAGGUUCCAAGGUAUGUAGGAUAAAUUCCAAAUUCAAAAAUAAGAAAUUUGUUUCAGUAGAUAGGUUCCAAGUUCGAUGUGACAUAUGUAUGAAAAUUGGACCCGCCCCUAAUUGAUUUACCUCCAAAGACCUACGUGGUCAAAUUUCCAAAGAAAAUAUACAAGUUUCUCCAUGAGAUUAGAAUCUUACGUAUUGAACGAUUGCAAUAAAUAUAAUUAAAACAUAGAUGCCUCCACAUAAUGGUUUUCAAUGCUUUAAUUGCUUGAUUCUUGCGUACUUGGGGUUUGAGUCACUAUGUGUCCUACUCAGCAUGACUUCAGCACGACGCUUGCCACCCUAAGCAUAGAGUGGUACCCAGUAUACGUGGACGGAGCGAUUGACAUACAAUCAUAAAAUUAGUCGAGUCGAGAAAAUUUCUAAUAUCUAUUUUUAUUUGCAAGUGAAAGUAUUGAGGUAUGGUUUAUAUUCGCGAUUAAUAAGAAGGCACGGAGUUCUACUCCUUGAUAUGAGGGUUUGAGGGCAAUUUCGAAAGGGUCAUAGGGAUAGCAUCUUCGUGACGUCCUUAAUUUAAGUUCAUUUUUUAUUGGAAAUUUAGAUUUACCGAUUUAUAAUAUCUUUUUAUUAUUAUUUAUAAUUGAGAGUUGUAAUAUAGAGGUGUAAUAUAUUAAUUAGAGUAAAAUUAUCAUAAAAAUUCUGAUACCUCAAUGUCUCUUUCGCUCGUUUUUAUUUUUUAUUUCUUCGUGGUGGUGUGUCGAAUUCUAAUGGAAAGAAGGGAAAGAAAAGGAAGAUAGGCAUCGUUAAAGACUUCGCGAGGACUGAGGAGCAAUCUGUCGAGAUAUUUUAUCGCUCUCGGUCUUGGUCGUCUCUAAAUUUCGUCAAUGCACGGGCCGGCGAGCGGAUGAUAUGAUUGCAAGAGGCCAAAACUGUCAGAGUGAACGAUAAUCACUUUGUUUUUUGUUUUUUCACGACAUGUCCUCCCCACUUUAAAAAAGUAAGAGAGCUUAGCAAGUGACGCCGGAGCUGGUCUCUGUCUCUGUAAUGCGCUUGCCAGCUUCGAACGAAAUAGAAAGGAUGCGUCUCUGAGGCAAAAGCUACUUUUUGCAAAAGCAUAUUAACUUUUGUGCACAAUUUUCUCCGCCUAUUUAAACACCAUCAAGUCUCACCACGUGUAUCUACUUUUGUGCACAAUUUUCAAGGCGUCUCAUGCUGACGUCACCGAACCGCUCUGUCAGGAGGAUCGGCUGACUCGCUAGGGUUUUGUUCUUCAGGUUAGGUCGGAUUUUCUUGGGUGCUCCUUCCUUGG